This 229-nucleotide ribosomal RNA is filed under the name uncultured bacterium. RNAcentral describes it as "partial 16S ribosomal RNA". It matches the Rfam family "Bacterial small subunit ribosomal RNA", at positions 568 to 796 of the family's 1533-position model. The record is from RNAcentral.
UCCGUAGGCGGGCAGCUAAGUCAGUGGUGAAAGUCUGCAGCUCAACUGUAGAAUUGCCAUUGAUACUGGUUGUCUUGAAUUAUUAUGAAGUGGUUAGAAUAUGUAGUGUAGCGGUGAAAUGCAUAGAUAUUACAUAGAAUACCAAUUGCGAAGGCAGAUCACUAAUAAUAUAUUGACGCUGAGGGACGAAAGCGUGGGGAGCGAACAGGAUUAGAUACCCUGGUAGUCC